AACGCACGAGACCUGCGGACCUGCGGAGGGAUCAUUAAUGAAUGUGGCACACAUGUGCCCAUCAACCCUCAAACCUCUGUGGAACAAACCGUGUUUCGGCGACCGGCUCCGGUCGCCGACGCCAAUUCCUGAAUAUGUCUUUUGAUGUCUGUCUGAUCAUAAGAUUGAAUACAUAAAACUUUUAACAAUGGAUCUCU
Molecule: unclassified non-coding RNA, 197 nt
Filed under: soil metagenome
Description: partial contains 5.8S ribosomal RNA, internal transcribed spacer 2, and large subunit ribosomal RNA
Source: RNAcentral